AUGAAGCCUGUCUUUGGUAAUGAUUACAAGUUCACGGAUGAGGACAUAGAGACAGCCGUUUACAUCCGCGGAACAUAUGACCCUGUUGAAAUAGUUAGAAUCGGAGACAUUACCCUCACAGCAGAAAAUGUGAAGCGAAAUUUGGACGACAAAUACAUAUAUGGUGAUGUUAUUAUGGCAUAUGCUCGCAUUAGCCAAAUUGAGAAUGAUACUACCUCAAUCAUAUCCCCUCAAGAAACCGAAAAGCUGUUACAAAUGAAGGGGGUGGUUCCUGUUGGACGUGCAACCUCAUGGUUAGCUCGUGUAGCAGAAAAAUUUGUAGGGCGCCGAAAGGUGCAUGUCCCACUGAAUGCACACCAAAACCAUUGGAUGGUAAUAAUGUUUAAUUUUGACAAAAAAGAAAUCCAGACUCUGAACUCUAUGAAUUAUCAUUGCGACAAGACCAAGGAAGAUUCACUUUGCUGCAUCAACGAAGCUGUCAAGAAUGGGUUGAUAUCACCAGCUAAGAACAUCAAUUUUGCCGAAUGGACCAAAAAACUCUAUGAGAACAUACCACAACAGACCGAUGGGACUUCCUGUGCGGUUUGGACACUGCAGUACAUGUUGUCAUGGAACGGGGAUGAAAUGACCGAUAUUUUUAACCAGAAGGAGGUGUACGAUGCCCAGCAAGCAGUUCUACCUGAUGGUUCAGAAGACGACGUACAAUUAGUCAACAAUCCUGAUGGUUUCAACGAACCCGACACAUCCAACUCCCAGAAGGAUACCAGUGCACCCAACUCCCCCAAAAGUGGUGCACCCAACUCCCCGAAAAGGAAGAGAGCACGUGGACGC
RNAcentral lists this ribosomal RNA (831 nucleotides) under Triticum aestivum (bread wheat). RNAcentral's name for it is "partial small subunit ribosomal RNA". Lineage: Eukaryota; Viridiplantae; Streptophyta; Magnoliopsida; Poales; Poaceae. The record is from RNAcentral.